GACGAACGCUGGCGGCGUGCUUAACACAUGCAAGUCGAGCGGUAAGGCCCUUUCGGGGGUACACGAGCGGCGAACGGGUGAGUAACACGUGGGUGACCUGCCCUCAGCUCUGGGAUAAGCCUGGGAAACUGGGUCUAAUACUGGAUAUGACUCCACGGUGCAUGUCGUGGGGUGAAAGCCUUGUGCGGCUGAGGAUGGGCCCGCGGCCUAUCAGCUUGUUGGUGGGGUGAGGCCUACCAAGGCGACGACGGGUAGCCGGCCUGAGAGGGCGACCGGCCACACUGGGACUGAGACACGGCCCAGACUCCUACGGGAGGCAGCAGUGGGGAAUCUUGCGCAAUGGGCGAAAGCCUGACGCAGCGACGCCGCGUGAGGGAUGACGG
Molecule: ribosomal RNA, 383 nt
Filed under: uncultured bacterium
Lineage: Bacteria
Description: bacterial SSU rRNA
Rfam family: Bacterial small subunit ribosomal RNA
Source: RNAcentral